UACUGGUGUGAUCAAAUAUCAAGGAGUUUC
This 30-nucleotide non-coding RNA is filed under the name Mus musculus (house mouse). Lineage: Eukaryota; Metazoa; Chordata; Mammalia; Rodentia; Muridae. The record is from RNAcentral.